Molecule: long non-coding RNA, 165 nt
Organism: Gopherus evgoodei (Goodes thornscrub tortoise)
Lineage: Eukaryota; Metazoa; Chordata; Testudines; Testudinidae
Exons: 3
Source: RefSeq, a predicted model, not a curated record
AAGCCAGCUGGCCAAGGGAGCGGCCCUCGCCAUCCCCACCUUCCUGAGUGAAGCCUGCAGGACUCUGCUCCAGGACUGCCCAGGGAGGCUGAGCAAGAAGGCUGCUCUGAGAGCAGCAGCUGCCCAGCAGCUGAUAGGAUACAUGAUGGAGAAUUGAAGCCAGAG